RNAcentral lists this ribosomal RNA (253 nucleotides) under uncultured bacterium. RNAcentral's name for it is "partial 16S ribosomal RNA". It matches the Rfam family "Bacterial small subunit ribosomal RNA", at positions 524 to 776 of the family's 1533-position model. The record is from RNAcentral.
UACGUAGGGGGCAGGCGUUGUCCGGAUUUAUUGGGCGUAAAGAGCGUGUAGGCGGCCGUACAGGUCAGCUGUGAAAACUCGAGGCUCAACCUCGAGACGUCGGUUGAAACCGUACGGCUAGAGUCCGGAAGAGGAGAGUGGAAUUCCCGGUGUAGCGGUGAAAUGCGCAGAUAUCAGGAGGAACACCGAUGGCGAAGGCAGGUCUCUGGGCAUUAACUGACGCUGAGGAGCGAAAGCAUGGGGAGCGAACAGG